GUGAAGACAAAGGGGUGCUGUUAUGCCCUUACGGCAACGGCUGAGAUUAUACCCUUACGACCUGACGCAGUUAAUGCUGCCGUAGGCAUUGUGUGACCCAUUUCU
RNAcentral lists this non-coding RNA (105 nucleotides) under Prevotella sp. RNAcentral's name for it is "TPP sequence". It matches the Rfam family "TPP riboswitch aptamer (THI element)". From Rfam's summary of the family: Vitamin B(1) in its active form thiamin pyrophosphate (TPP) is an essential coenzyme that is synthesised by coupling of pyrimidine and thiazole moieties in bacteria. The record is from RNAcentral. RNAcentral also lists the same sequence under 1 other name. Lineage: Bacteria; Pseudomonadati; Bacteroidota; Bacteroidia; Bacteroidales; Prevotellaceae.